Canis lupus familiaris (dog) is the source of this 462-nucleotide long non-coding RNA. RefSeq lists it as uncharacterized. NCBI's taxonomy places the organism in Eukaryota, Metazoa, Chordata, Mammalia, Carnivora, Canidae. The record is from RefSeq and is a predicted model, not a curated record. The transcript has 3 exons.
GCCAUGUUGGUAGCGGUGCGGGGCCGGGUCGCGGCACCCCGGCUGCUUCUUACAAAGGGCAGGUGGCAGGUAUUUUGGGCUUUGGGGGCCCAAGAGGAAAAGGGAAGAUACCAGGUUGGUACUUACAGAAGUUUCCACAAAAUGUUUACUGAUGAAAUCAAAUUCUAACCAAUAGCUCCACAACCAACAUGGAGCCCAACACGGGGCUCAAACCCAUGACCCCAACCAAGAUCAAGACCUGAGCUGAGAUCAAGAGUCAGAUGCUCAACUAACCUGAGCCACAUAGGCACCCCCAUGAUGACUCUUUUAAGCAUGGAGGAAAGACACGUAUGCUGUUAAACAACAGACAACUUAUUUAUACUUAAGAAGAGGAGGAAUGACUAUACACUAAAUAUAUGUGCAUGAGAAAAAUAAAAUUAAAUCACUAACCGUGAGUUUCUGAAUUUUUCCUGAUAGAGAAGA